AUGCCUACGGGACGCAGCAGUAGGGAAUAUUGCUCAAUGGGGGAAACCCUGAAGCAGCAACGCCGCGUGGAGGAUGAAGGCUUUAGGAUUGUAAACUCCUUUUGUUAGAGAAGAUUAUGACGGUAUCUAACGAAUAAGCACCGGCUAACUCCGUGCCAGCAGCCGCGGUAAUACGGAGGGUGCAAGCGUUACUCGGAAUCACUGGGCGUAAAGAGUGCGAAGGCGGGGAAAUAAGUCAGAUGUGAAAUCCUGUAGC
This 256-nucleotide ribosomal RNA is filed under the name uncultured bacterium. Its description in RNAcentral is "partial 16S ribosomal RNA". It matches the Rfam family "Bacterial small subunit ribosomal RNA", at positions 335 to 608 of the family's 1533-position model. The record is from RNAcentral.